Molecule: transfer RNA, 72 nt
Filed under: Streptococcaceae bacterium
Lineage: Bacteria; Bacillati; Bacillota; Bacilli; Lactobacillales; Streptococcaceae
Also listed under: 1 other name
Description: tRNA-Glu
Rfam family: tRNA
About the family: Transfer RNA (tRNA) molecules are approximately 80 nucleotides in length. Their secondary structure includes four short double-helical elements and three loops (D, anti-codon, and T loops). Further hydrogen bonds mediate the characteristic L-shaped molecular structure. tRNAs have two regions of fundamental functional importance: the anti-codon, which is responsible for specific mRNA codon recognition, and the 3' end, to which the tRNAs corresponding amino acid is attached (by aminoacyl-tRNA synthetases). tRNAs cope with the degeneracy of the genetic code in two manners: having more than one tRNA (with a specific anti-codon) for a particular amino acid; and 'wobble' base-pairing, i.e. permitting non-standard base-pairing at the 3rd anti-codon position.
Source: RNAcentral
GGUCCAUUGGUCAAGCGGUUAAGACUCCGGUUUCUCAGACCGGCAACGAGGGUUCGACUCCCUCAUGGACUA